This is a long non-coding RNA of Zingiber officinale, 419 nucleotides long. RefSeq lists it as uncharacterized. NCBI's taxonomy places the organism in Eukaryota, Viridiplantae, Streptophyta, Magnoliopsida, Zingiberales, Zingiberaceae. The transcript has 2 exons. The record is from RefSeq and is a predicted model, not a curated record.
UAUCCAUCAAGGUAUGAAGGAGAUUUAGUAUCCAAGUUCUAUUUUGCUAAGCGAAAGCUUGUAUGGGAGAUCCUUGAAGGUGGUCUCAAGAGUAAGAUUAAAAUCCAAUGGUUUGAUAUCACAGCUCUGAAGGCAACUUCUCCCGAAAAUGGUCUGGGGACUUUUGAUUUAGUGCUGGUAGGCAACCUCUUUUUUUAGGGAAACUAAUCCACAACCUAGAAAGCACACUCUGGGGCAAGCUACUUCAGACUUCAUAGAGGGCAAGCAAGCAUACACAAGUAGAAGAGAUAUAUUGUUCUUUCUUAUGUUCACCAAUUGAUAUCCACUAGUAGAGGUGUAAUCGAGUCGAGCCGAACUCUUGGAUGUUUGAGUUUGACUCGUUUAUAAUCGAACCGAGCGUGAGCUUUAUUUAACGAAUA